GCCAGCAUGGUGUAGUGGUUUGAGCACUGGACUGUGACUCUGGAGACCAGGGUUCAAAUCUUGAUUUGGCC
Non-coding RNA from Phrynosoma platyrhinos (Desert horned lizard), 71 nucleotides. NCBI's taxonomy places the organism in Eukaryota, Metazoa, Chordata, Lepidosauria, Squamata, Phrynosomatidae. The record is from the annotation of a GenBank genome assembly.